GGAUUAGAUACCCUGGUAGUCCAUGCAGUAAACGAUGGGUGCUAGUCGUCGGACUUUUGUUCGGUGUCGUAGCUAACGCGUUAAGCACCCCGCCUGGGGAGUACGGUCGCAAGAUUAAAACUCAAAUAAAUUGACGGGGACCCGCACAAGCAGUGGAGCAUGUGGUUUAAUUCGACGCAACGCGAAGAACCUUACCAGCGUUUGACAUGGAAAGUGCCGGUUACAGAAUGGUAACCUUCAGUUCGGCUGGCUUUCGCACAGGUGCUGCAUGGCUGUCGUCAGCUCGUGCCG
RNAcentral lists this ribosomal RNA (291 nucleotides) under uncultured bacterium. RNAcentral's name for it is "partial 16S ribosomal RNA". It matches the Rfam family "Bacterial small subunit ribosomal RNA", at positions 775 to 1067 of the family's 1533-position model. The record is from RNAcentral.